AGUGAACGCUGGCGGUAGGCCUAACACAUGCAAGUCGAACGGCAGCACAGUAAGAGCUUGCUCUUACGGGUGGCGAGUGGCGGACGGGUGAGGAAUACAUCGGAAUCUACUUUUUCGUGGGGGAUAACGUAGGGAAACUUACGCUAAUACCGCAUACGACCUACGGGUGAAAGCAGGGGAUCUUCGGACCUUGCGCGAUUGAAUGAGCCGAUGUCGGAUUAGCUAGUUGGCGGGGUAAAGACCCACCAAGGCGACGAUCCGUAGCUGGUGUGAGAGGAUGGUCAGCGACAUUGGAAGGUGGACAGCGUCCAUGCGCCUGCGGGAGGGAGCAGUGGGGAAUGUUGGACAAUGGGCGCAAGCCUGGUACAGCCAGCCCGCGUGGGAGAAGAAGGCCUUCGGGUUGUAAAGCCCUUUUGUUGGGAAAGAAAAGCAGCAGGUUAAUACCCCGCUGUUCUGACGGUACCCAAAGAAUAAGCACCGGCUAACUUCGUG
This 492-nucleotide ribosomal RNA is filed under the name uncultured bacterium. RNAcentral describes it as "partial 16S ribosomal RNA". It matches the Rfam family "Bacterial small subunit ribosomal RNA", at positions 29 to 507 of the family's 1533-position model. The record is from RNAcentral.